Dermacentor andersoni is the source of this 1377-nucleotide long non-coding RNA. RefSeq lists it as uncharacterized. Lineage: Eukaryota; Metazoa; Arthropoda; Arachnida; Ixodida; Ixodidae. The record is from RefSeq and is a predicted model, not a curated record.
UAUAGGGUGGUCCCAGCUAACUUUAACCAGGGUUUCAACAUAUGCUCAUGCACUAAGGCGACGUGACCAAAUGCACUGCUGACUAUUGUAUGCUGUAAAUCACACAAUUUCUUGUAUUUUUCUUUAUUGCAUAAUUAGUCAAGAUUAAUUAGUCAACUUUUCAAACAACGAAGUUAGGCAACCAAUUCUAAUUAUAACGUUGUAGAGCCCUUUGCAAAACGUCCGAUUAAACUGUCUCUAACUUUCUAUCUGUUAGGUGUUACUCUUUCUCCGCUUAUUGCAGAUGUCCGCGAAAUACAAAAAAAAAAAGAAAAAAAUACCGCGUGACAUGCCCGCUUUCGCGCCGCGAUUGCAGCGCUCUCAAACUUUUCUCGUACAAACGAAGAUAGCAUCUAGCAGGGUGAGCUGCCACUUAAAAGGCGACAGGCCAGUGACGCAGGCGUUGGGUCUGCGAUUUACGCCACCAUUGUGCUUCCUUCGUGUUCAUGAUAGCAAUAAGCAGGUGCAGCGGCAGCACACCCGGCUAAAUGCUCGGUCUGUUCGAUUCGGCUGCACCACUUGAACCAGUUCACGUGGUGCCGCAGCUUGCCAUUAGUUUCAGCAGUGCAACCUCCCCGCCCGCACCCUGGCGCUCGUUUCAAAAAGUGAAGCAAAGGUGCAGCGCUGGUGCAGGAAUUUUCGGAACCUACUUUUCCGGUGGUGCCGCAUUGGUGUACGCAUGGUUCACGAUAGUUGACGACCUUGCAGACGAUGGAGCAGACGAUGUCGCUCCAUCGAGGGCACGACUUCUCCACGCUUUUUCGUGCCGGUCGGCGGGAUUCAAACACAGGUUACGCCUGUAGUCAGCGAGGAUGGGACCCACGUUCCACUCAGUGAUGGUUUUGCAUACAGAACGCCAGGCAAAGCAUUACAUCGACGUUCGAAUUUGAACAGGAAGGUGGAGGUUACAACAAAAUGACACCUCCGGACGGAUUGCUACUGGUUCUGAUCCUUGAAGAACGUGAAGAUGCAGCUGCGACGAGCGAAGAGAUGAAACCUGAUUGUAUGCUGUGGGUGAAACGUGGUUCAAGUAAUGAAGCCAGCAGAUGCGAACAAUACUUCAGACAACAUUGCGCAGGAGAAGACUCAUCUUACAUUGGUAGUGAAGCGCAAUGCCAAAAAGAGGACUCUGCGGCUGGGGCGAAGAAGCCCGGUAGCUCGUAGGCAAGGGGUAUAAUUCAGUCAAGGCUGAGCGUGAAAGGGUAAUAGAUACAGCACUGAGGUUUAUCACUUACUUUUUACGCAACCGCAAUAAAAUUGUUUUUUAUUGAAAUAAUUAAUAGUACAAGUUGGUGCUUUCAUGGCGGCCCCGGCUACUCCUUGUCACUUAGCAAAGGA